AUUGAACGCUGGCGGCAAGCUUAACACAUGCAAGUCGAGCGGGGUGAUGGUGCUUGCACUAUCACUUAGCGGCGGACGGGUGAGUAAUGCUUAGGAAUCUGCCUAUUAGUGGGGGACAACAUCUCGAAAGGGAUGCUAAUACCGCAUACGUCCUACGGGAGAAAGCAGGGGAUCACUUGUGACCUUGCGCUAAUAGAUGAGCCUAAGUCGGAUUAGCUAGUUGGUGGGGUAAAGGCCUACCAAGGCGACGAUCUGUAGCGGGUCUGAGAGGAUGAUCCGCCACACUGGGACUGAGACACGGCCCAGACUCCUACGGGAGGCAGCAGUGGGGAAUAUUGGACAAUGGGGGGAACCCUGAUCCAGCCAUGCCGCGUGUGUGAAGAAGGCCUUAUGGUUGUAAAGCACUUUAAGCGAGGAGGAGGCUCUUUUGGUUAAUACCCAGAAUGAGUGGACGUUACUCGCGGAAUAAGCACCGGCUAACUCUGUGCCAGCCGCCGCAGUAA
RNAcentral lists this ribosomal RNA (503 nucleotides) under uncultured bacterium. Its description in RNAcentral is "partial 16S ribosomal RNA". It matches the Rfam family "Bacterial small subunit ribosomal RNA", at positions 30 to 523 of the family's 1533-position model. The record is from RNAcentral.